UACGUAGGGGGCAAGCGUUGUCCGGAUUUAUUGGGCGUAAAGAGCUCGUAGGCGGUUUGGUAAGUCAGGUGUGAAAUCUCCACGCUCAACGUGGAGGGGCCACCUGAUACUGCCAUGACUGGAGUCCGGUAGAGGAGUGUGGAAUUCCCGGUGUAGCGGUGAAAUGCGCAGAUAUCGGGAGGAACACCGGUGGCGAAGGCGGUUCUCUGGGCCUGUACUGACGCUGAGGAGCGAAAGCGUGGGGAGCGAACAGG
RNAcentral lists this ribosomal RNA (254 nucleotides) under uncultured bacterium. RNAcentral's name for it is "partial 16S ribosomal RNA". It matches the Rfam family "Bacterial small subunit ribosomal RNA", at positions 524 to 776 of the family's 1533-position model. The record is from RNAcentral.